RNAcentral lists this ribosomal RNA (501 nucleotides) under uncultured bacterium. Its description in RNAcentral is "partial 16S ribosomal RNA". It matches the Rfam family "Bacterial small subunit ribosomal RNA", at positions 29 to 523 of the family's 1533-position model. The record is from RNAcentral.
AUUGAACGCUGGCGGCAUGCCUUACACAUGCAAGUCGAACGGCAGCACGGGUGCUUGCACCUGGUGGCGAGUGGCGAACGGGUGAGUAAUACAUCGGAACGUACCUUAUCGUGGGGGAUAACGCAGCGAAAGCUGUGCUAAUACCGCAUACGCCCUGAGGGGGAAAGCGGGGGAUCGAAAGACCUCGCGCGAUUAGAGCGGCCGAUGCCUGAUUAGCUUGUUGGUGGGGUGAAAGCCCACCAAGGCGACGAUCAGUAGCUGGUCUGAGAGGACGAUCAGCCACACUGGGACUGAGACACGGCCCAGACUCCUACGGGAGGCAGCAGUGGGGAAUUUUGGACAAUGGGGGCAACCCUGAUCCAGCAAUGCCGCGUGAGUGAAGAAGGCCUUCGGGUUGUAAAGCUCUUUUGUCAGGGAAGAAACACCGGCUCUAACACAGUCCGGGGAUGACGGUACCUGAAGAAUAAGCACCGGCUAACUACGUGCCAGCAGCCGCAGUAA